This 468-nucleotide ribosomal RNA is filed under the name uncultured bacterium. RNAcentral describes it as "partial 16S ribosomal RNA". It matches the Rfam family "Bacterial small subunit ribosomal RNA", at positions 28 to 507 of the family's 1533-position model. The record is from RNAcentral.
GACGAACGCUGGCGGCGUGCUUAGCACAUGCCAGUCGAACGGAAAGGCCCUGCUUUUGUGGGGUGCUCGAGUGGCGAACGGGUGAGUAACACGUGAGUAACCUGCCCUUGACUUUGGGAUAACUUCAGGAAACUGGGGCUAAUACCGGAUAGGAGCUCCUGCUGCAUGGUGGGGGUUGGAAAGUUUCGGCGGUUGGGGAUGGACUCGCGGCUUAUCAGCUUGUUGGUGGGGUAGUGGCUUACCAAGGCUUUGACGGGUAGCCGGCCUGAGAGGGUGACCGGCCACAUUGGGACUGAGAUACGGCCCAGACUCCUACGGGAGGCAGCAGUGGGGAAUAUUGCACAAUGGGCGGAAGCCUGAUGCAGCAACGCCGCGUGCGGGAUGACGGCCUUCGGGUUGUAAACCGCUUUCGCCUGUGACGAAGCGUGAGUGACGGUAAUGGGUAAAGAAGCACCGGCUAACUACGUG